This is a long non-coding RNA of Pollicipes pollicipes, 659 nucleotides long. RefSeq lists it as uncharacterized. The record is from RefSeq and is a predicted model, not a curated record. The transcript has 4 exons. Lineage: Eukaryota; Metazoa; Arthropoda; Thecostraca; Pollicipedomorpha; Pollicipedidae.
UUCAAGUUUUGAAGAUUUGUGUCCACAUCCGGGAUAUACAUAACAAACACAUAUUUAAUAUACCUGCAAAAAUACGGCCUGUAGUACAACUGCAGAAUGGAUAUAAGCUCCAAGCCAUUCUCAGGCGGUGACUGCAAAGUCCGACGGCUGACCAGAGAAGGCUGGCACCAGUGGCAGAGACAGCGGCUGGAUGCGGGGUGACCCGCCGGCGGACCGUGGCUAGAAGCUCUGGCGGACAGCUGGGUGCACUUUGCCGCUCAGCUGCGUGUGCUCGCUUCGCACUCGGUGGCGCCGACCGGCCGCCUCGCCCACCAACACCGGCCCAGCCGCCUCGUCCGCCAACACGGGCUUCAGUGUCGCUACUGUGAUCGGCCGCUGUACUGUUUGCCACCCGCCAGAGCCACUUAGGCUGCUCGGCCACGCACCUGAGGCCGGCACACUACCAGACCAGCCCCAGCUCGGGUUGGGAUGCACGGACGGGUCUGGCGACGCGAACAGGGUGCUGAUCGGGUGCGCCGCUCUGGAGCGCUCUGCCUUGAUGCAUGUUAGUGUUGGACGCCGAGGCUUUACGACGGUAGUAUAUGGCGGAGACAACUCAUCUGUGUAAGGCAUAUUGGUGUUGACUGUCACGUUGUGAUUAAUAGAUAAUAUUUUCCCCA